CAGCCGCCGCGGUAAAACCAGCACCUCAAGUGGUCAGGAUGAUUAUUGGGCCUAAAGCAUCCGUAGCCUGCUCUGUAAGUUUUCGGUUAAAUCUGUACGCUUAACGUACAGGCUGCCGGGAAUACUGCAAAGCUAGGGAGUGGGAGAAGUAGACGGUACUCGGUAGGAAGGGGUAAAAUCCUUUGGUCUAUUGAUGACCACCUGUGGCGAAGGCGGUCUACCAGAACACGUCCGACGGUGAGGGAUGAAAGCUGGGGGAGCAAACCGGAUUAGAUACCCGGGUAGUCCCAGCUGUAAACUAUGCAAACUCAGUGAUGCAUUGGCUUGUGGCCAAUGCAGUGCUGCAGGGAAGCCGUUAAGUUUGCCGCCUGGGAAGUACGUACGCAAGUAUGAAACUUAAAGGAAUUGGCGGGGGAGCAC
RNAcentral lists this ribosomal RNA (420 nucleotides) under uncultured Nitrososphaerota archaeon. RNAcentral's name for it is "bacterial SSU rRNA". It matches the Rfam family "Archaeal small subunit ribosomal RNA", at positions 459 to 879 of the family's 1478-position model. The record is from RNAcentral. Lineage: Archaea; Thermoproteati; Nitrososphaerota.